Molecule: ribosomal RNA, 490 nt
Filed under: uncultured bacterium
Lineage: Bacteria
Description: partial 16S ribosomal RNA
Rfam family: Bacterial small subunit ribosomal RNA
Source: RNAcentral
AUUGAACGCUGGCGGCAUGCUUUACUCAUGCAAGUCGGACGGCAGCACAGAGAAGCUUGCUUCUUGGGUGGCGAGUGGCGAACGGGUGAGUAAUAUAUCGGAACGUACCGAGUAAUGGGGGAUAACUAAUCGAAAGAUUAGCUAAUACCGCAUAUUCUCUGAGGAGGAAAGCAGGGGAACUUCGGGCCUUGCGUUAUUCGAGCGGCCGAUAUCUGAUUAGCUAGUUGGUGGGGUAAAGGCCUACCAAGGCGACGAUCAGUAGCGGGUCUGAGAGGAUGAUCCGCCACACUGGGACUGAGACACGGCCCAGACUCCUACGGGAGGCUGCAGUGGGGAAUUUUGGACAAUGGGCGCAAGCCUGAUCCAGCCAUGCCGCGUGUCUGAAGAAGGCCUUCGGGUUGUAAAGGACUUUUGUCAGGGAAGAAAAGGCUGUUGCUAAUACCGACAGCUGAUGACGGUACCUGAAGAAUAAGCUCCGGCUAACUACGUG